AUGCUUUGAUUUUCCUUAAUAUUUUAUAAAUCUUUCACCUUUAGUUACUAAAGAUUUCCAUGGAGAGGAACCACUCUGAGCUUUAACCAACUUUUUAAGGCCUUGUGUUUGCAGAGCU
Molecule: small nuclear RNA, 118 nt
Organism: Nomascus leucogenys (northern white-cheeked gibbon)
Lineage: Eukaryota; Metazoa; Chordata; Mammalia; Primates; Hylobatidae
Gene: U5
Rfam family: U5 spliceosomal RNA
About the family: U5 RNA is a component of both types of known spliceosome. The precise function of this molecule is unknown, though it is known that the 5' loop is required for splice site selection and p220 binding, and that both the 3' stem-loop and the Sm site are important for Sm protein binding and cap methylation.
Source: Ensembl